ACCAUAUCUAGCGUACACGGUUCUCUCGAAUCGCAAGAUCGAGAGCUAAGAGGGAAUCCGGAUCAGGCGUGCUCGCCGAGGCCGGAGCUGCCCCCGCAACUGUAGGCGGAGAGCCUCGUCCGACUGUGCCACUGAGAUCGCGAGGUCUCGGGAAGGCCGGACGGGGCCGUGACCCGCGAGCCAGGAGACCUGCCGUGACAUGAACGCGAAC
Molecule: non-coding RNA, 211 nt
Filed under: Lutibaculum baratangense AMV1
Lineage: Bacteria; Pseudomonadati; Pseudomonadota; Alphaproteobacteria; Hyphomicrobiales; Tepidamorphaceae
Also listed under: 1 other name
Source: RNAcentral